GGCGGUUCUCGGAUGUCGCACCCCAGAAUUGGGCUCCCUCCUCUCCGGUUCCAGUUGCAUCACCUGAGAACCUCA
Molecule: non-coding RNA, 75 nt
Organism: Myotis davidii
Lineage: Eukaryota; Metazoa; Chordata; Mammalia; Chiroptera; Vespertilionidae
Source: Rfam